GGUGUAAUAACACGUGGGCAACCUGCCUGUAAGACUGGGAUAACUUCGGGAAACCGAAGCUAAUACCGGAUAGGAUCUUCUCCUUCAUGGGAGAUGAUUGAAAGAUGGUUUCGGCUAUCACUUACAGAUGGGCCCGCGGUGCAUUAGCUAGUUGGUGAGGUAACAGCUCACCAAGGCAACGAUGCAUAGCCGACCUGAGAGGGUGAUCGGCCACACUGGGACUGAGACACGGCCCAGACUCCUACGGGAGGCAGCAGUAGGGAAUCUUCCCGCAAUGGGACGAAAGUCUGACGGACCACCCCCCCGUGAUUGAUGAAGGCUUUCGGGUCGAAAACUCUGUUGUAGGGAAAAAAAUUACAAAAUUACUGGCUCGUCCCUUGGCGGGCCCAAACAGAAGCCCCGGUACUUCGGCCCCCACCCGGGUAAUAC
RNAcentral lists this ribosomal RNA (429 nucleotides) under Bacillus sp. WBUT_C04. Its description in RNAcentral is "bacterial SSU rRNA". It matches the Rfam family "Bacterial small subunit ribosomal RNA", at positions 105 to 526 of the family's 1533-position model. The record is from RNAcentral. Lineage: Bacteria; Bacillati; Bacillota; Bacilli; Caryophanales; Bacillaceae.